AAAAAGCACACCAUAUAUGCCCGAUGAUGAUGAUUUAUUGGGAUCUAUUCUAGUUGGAAGGGCUCCAACCUUGAGAAUGGGUCCGACACCGCCACUUCCAAAAGCUGCUUCCCGGAAACGACCUCGCUUGACACCGAGAGUUGGUGUCCCCAAGAGGAAGGUUCUUAUAGAUGAUACAAUGGUCUUGCAUGCUGAUGCAAUAAGGAAGCAGUUGGUAAAUA
Molecule: unclassified non-coding RNA, 221 nt
Filed under: Hevea brasiliensis (rubber tree)
Lineage: Eukaryota; Viridiplantae; Streptophyta; Magnoliopsida; Malpighiales; Euphorbiaceae
Source: RNAcentral